UACGUAGGGGGCAAGCGUUGUCCGGAAUUACUGGGCGUAAAGGGCUCGUAGGCGGCCAACUAAGUCGGAUGUGAAAUCCCCAGGCUUAACCUGGGAACUGCAUCCGAUACUGGAUGGCUUGAAUUCGGGAGAGGGAUGCAGAAUUCCAGGUGUAGCGGUGAAAUGCGUAGAUAUCUGGAGGAAUACCGGUGGCGAAGGCGGCAUCCUGGACCGGCAUUGACGCUGAUGAGCGAAAGCUAGGGGAGCAAACGGG
This 253-nucleotide ribosomal RNA is filed under the name uncultured bacterium. RNAcentral's name for it is "partial 16S ribosomal RNA". It matches the Rfam family "Bacterial small subunit ribosomal RNA", at positions 524 to 776 of the family's 1533-position model. The record is from RNAcentral.